AGUGAACGCUGGCGGUAGGCCUAACACAUGCAAGUCGAACGGCAGCACGGUAAGAGCUUGCUCUUACGGGUGGCGAGUGGCGGACGGGUGAGGAAUACAUCGGAAUCUACUUUUUCGUGGGGGAUAACGUAGGGAAACUUACGCUAAUACCGCAUACGACCUACGGGUGAAAGCAGGGGAUCUUCGGACCUUGCGCGAUUGAAUGAGCCGAUGUCGGAUUAGCUAGUUGGCGGGGUAAAGGCCCACCAAGGCGACGAUCCGUAGCUGGUCUGAGAGGAUGAUCAGCCACACUGGAACUGAGACACGGUCCAGACUCCUACGGGAGGCAGCAGUGGAGAAUAUUGGACAAUGGGCGCAAGCCUGAUCCAGCCAUACCGCGUGGGUGAAGAAGGCCUUCGGGUUGUAAAGCCCUUUUGUUGGGAAAGAAAAGCAGCAGGUUAAUACCCCGCUGUUCUGACGGUACCCAAAGAAUAAGCACCGGCUAACUUCGUG
This 492-nucleotide ribosomal RNA is filed under the name uncultured bacterium. RNAcentral describes it as "partial 16S ribosomal RNA". It matches the Rfam family "Bacterial small subunit ribosomal RNA", at positions 29 to 507 of the family's 1533-position model. The record is from RNAcentral.